RNAcentral lists this ribosomal RNA (253 nucleotides) under uncultured bacterium. Its description in RNAcentral is "partial 16S ribosomal RNA". It matches the Rfam family "Bacterial small subunit ribosomal RNA", at positions 524 to 776 of the family's 1533-position model. The record is from RNAcentral.
UACGGAAGGGGCGAGCGUUGUUCGGAAUCAUUGGGCGUAAAGGGCGCGUAGGUGGUUCUGUAUGUCUACCGUGAAAGCGUACGGCUCAACCGUAUUUUGUCGGUAGAAACUGCAGGACUUGAGGCUGGGAGGGGCUGGUGGAAUUCCCUGUGUAGCGGUGAAAUGCGUAGAGAUGGGGGAGAACACUCGUGGCGAAGGCGGCCAGCUAGACCAGUUCUGACACUGAGGCACGAAGGCCAGGGGAGCAAACGGG